RNAcentral lists this ribosomal RNA (1341 nucleotides) under uncultured organism. RNAcentral's name for it is "16S ribosomal RNA". It matches the Rfam family "Bacterial small subunit ribosomal RNA", at positions 94 to 1427 of the family's 1533-position model. The record is from RNAcentral.
AGUGGCGAAAGGGUGAGUAAUAGAUAGGUAACGUGCCCCGAACUUCGGGAUAGCGUNCCGAAAGGAACGAUAAUACCGAAUAAUGUUGUCCUCUUUAAGGGGGGCAACCAAAGAUUUAUCGGCUCGGGAGCGGCCUAUUUCCCAUCAGCUAGUUGGUAAGGUAACGGCUUACCAAGGCUACGACGGGUAGCGGGACUGAGAGGUUGACCCGCCACAUCGGGACUGAGACACUGCCCGGACCUCCACGGAGGGCUGCAGUAACGAAUAUUGCGCAAUGGGCGAAAGCCUGACGCAGCGACGCCGCGUGUAGGAUGAAGCUCUUCGGAGUGUAAAACUACUGUCAGGGGUUAGAAAGUCCUCGGAUUGAUCAGCCCCAGAGGAAGUCACGGCUAACUUCGUGCCAGCAGCCGCGGUAAUACGAAGGUGGCUAGCGUUGUUCGGAAUUACUGGGCUUAAAGCGCAACGCAAGGCCGGACAGAAAGUGUUCUGUGAAAAUCCUCGGCUUAACCGAGGAAUUGCUUAGCAAACUACUGUUCUUGAGGGCAGUAGAGGUGCCUGGAACUCUUGGUGGAGCGGUGGAAUGCGUAAGAUAUCAAGGAGGACGCCAAUGGUGAAGACAGUGCACUGGGCUUGUCCCUGACGCUGAGGGUGCGAAAGGCGUGGGGAGCGAACCGGGAUUAGAUACCCCGGUAGGUCCACGCCGGUAAACGGAUGUCUACUAGGUUGUGGCUGUUCUGACACAGGCACAGCCGAAGCAAAAGUGUUAAGUAGACCCGCCUGGGGAGUACGGCUGCAAGGCUAAAACUCAAAGGAAUUGACGGGGGCUCACACAANCGGUGGAGCAUGUGGAUUAAUUCGAAGCAACGCGCAGAACCUUACCUGGGUUUGACAUGCCUGGAUGCUUGCCUGGAAACAGGUUAAGCUGCCCUUCGGGGUGAAACUUGCACAGGUGCUGCAUGGCUGUCGUCAGCUCGUGUCGUGAGAUGUCGGGUUAAGUCCUUUAACGAGCGAAACCCUUGCCGUUAGUUGCCAGCGAGUAAUGUCGGGGACUCUAGCGGGACUGCCGGUGUUAAGCCGGAGGAAGGCGGGGAUGACGUCAAGUCCUCAUGGCCUUUAUGCCCAGGGCUUCACACGUGCUACAAUGGCAACUACAAAGCGAAGCGAGACCGCGAGGUGGAGCAAAUCGCAAAAAAGUUGCCUCAGUUCGGAUUGCAGGCUGUCAACUCGCCUGCAUGAAGUUGGAAUCGCUAGUAAUCGCGUAUCAGCUAUGACGCGGUGAAUAUGUUCCUGAGCCUUGUACACACCGCCCGUCAAGUGAUGGAAGUCGGGAGCACCCGAAGU